This 2843-nucleotide long non-coding RNA is filed under the name Heterocephalus glaber (naked mole-rat). RNAcentral's name for it is "lncRNA (ENSHGLG00100050211.1)". The record is from RNAcentral. Lineage: Eukaryota; Metazoa; Chordata; Mammalia; Rodentia; Bathyergidae.
CCUCUGGUCUGCGAGCCUUGGCACACUGAUCCCGAGGUCUACUCUCUGGUUGCAUGUGUGGCACACAAAUUGGAAUAAUCCUGCUGGCUGAGAGCUGUGGCACACUGACUUGGAAGACACCUCUACUCUUCUAGCUGUGGCACACCAACCCUGAGGCCUCCUCUGUGGUUGGAGCUGUGGCACGCUUACUUGGAAUACUUCUCCUGGCUUGGAACUAUGGCAUGCACACCUUGAUAUCUCCUCUGGUCUGCGAGCCGUGGCACGCUGACCCUGAGGGCUAAUCUGUGGUUUCAUUUUGGGCACGCAAACUGGAAUAAUCCUGCUGGCUGAGAGCUGUGGCACCCUGGCCUGGAAGACUCCUCGGGGCUUCAAUCUGUUGCACGCUGACCCUGAGGCCUCCUCUGCAGUUGGAGCUGUGGCACGCCUACUGGCAAUACUCCUCCUGGCUUGGAACUAUGGCAAGCUGAACUGGAUGUAUCCUCUGCGCUCUGAGCCAUUGCACGCUGACCCCGAGGUCUCCUCUGUCGUUGGAUCUGUUGCACACAGAUUGGAAUGCUGCUGGCUGAGAGCUGUGGCACACUGACCUGGAUGUAUCCUCUGGUCUGCGAGCCUUGGCACACUGAUCCCGAGGUCUCCUCUGUCGUUGGAUCUGUUGCACACAGAUUGGAAUGCUACUGGCUGAGAGCUGUGGCACGCUGACCUGGAUGUAUCCUCUGGUCUGCGAGCCUUGGCACACUGAUCCCGAGGUCUAGUCUCUGUUUGCAUGUGUGGCACACAAAUUGGGAUAAUCCUUCUGGUUGAGAGCUGCGGGACCCUGACCUGGAAGACUCCUUGGGGCUUUGAUCUGUUGCACGCUGACCCUGAGGCCUCUUCUGUGGUUGGAGCUGUUUCACGCCUACUGGGAAUACUCCUCCUGGCUUGGAACUCUGGCAUGCACACCUUGAUGUCUCCUCUGGGCUGCGAGCCAUGGCACACUGAUCCCGAGGUCUACUCUCUGGUUGCAUCCGUGGCACACAAAUUGGAAUAAUCCUGCUGGCUGAGAGCUGUGGCAUGCUGACCUGGAUGUAUCCUCUGGUCUGCGAGCCUUGGCACCCUGAUCCUUAGGUCUAAUCUCUGGUUGCAUCUGUGGCACACAAAUUGGAAUAAACCUGUUGGCUGAGAGCUGUGGCACGCUGACGUGGAAGACUCCUCUGCUCUUCGAGCUGUGGCACACCAACCCUGAGGCCUCCUCUGUGGUUGGAGCUGUGGCACACCUACUGUGACUACUCCUCCUUUCUGGGAGCUAUGGCAUGGUCAUCUGGAUGUCUCCUCUGGGCUGUGUGCUGUGGCACGCUGAGCCUGAAGGCCUACUCUGUGGUUGGCUUUUUUGCAUGCAUAUUGGAAUACUGCAGGGUGAGAGCUGUGGCAUGUUGAUUUGGAUGUCUCCUCUGGUCUGCGAGCCUUGGCACACUGAUCCCGAAGUCUACUCUCUUGUUGAAUCUGUGGCACACAAAUUGGAAUAAUCCUGCUGGCUGAGAGCUGUGACACGCUGACUUGGAAGACACGUUCACUCUUCUAGCUGUGUCACACCAACCCUGAGGCCUCCUCUGUGGUUGGAGCUGUGGCACGCCUACUUGGAAUACUCCUCCUGGCUUAGAGACAUGUCAAGCUGAACUGGAUGUCUCCUCUGGGCUGCGAGCUGUGGCACACUGACCCCGAGGACUAUUCUGUGGUUGGCUUUGUUGCACACACAUUGGAAUACUGCAGGCUGAGAGCUGUGGCACGCUGACCUGGAUGUCUCCUCUGGGCGGUGAGCCAUAGCAUGCUGACACCGAGUUCUCCUCUGUGGUUGGAUCUGUUGCACGCAGGUUGGAAUAUUGCUGGCUGAGAGCUGUGAUAUGCUGAUAUGGAUGUAUCCUCUGGUCUGUGAGCCUUGACACACUGAUCCCGAAGUCUACUCUCUUGUUGCAUCUGUGGCACACAAAUUGGAAUAAUCCUGCUGGCUGAGAGUUGUGGCACGCUGAUAUGGAUGUAUCCUCUGGUCUGCGAGCUUUGGCACACUGAUCCUGAGAUCUACUCUCUGGUUGCAUCUGUGGCACACAAAUUGGAAUAAUCCUGUUGGCUGAGAGCGGUGGCAGGCUGUCUUGGAAGACUCCUCUGCUCUUUGAGCUGUGGCACAGCAACCCUGAGGCCUCCUCUGCAGUUGGAGCUGUGACACGCCUACUGGGAAUACUCCUCCUUGCUGGAAGCUAUGGCAUGGUCAUCUGGAUGUCUCCUCUGGGCUGUGAGCUGUGGCAUGCUGAGCCGGAAGGCCUACUCUGUGGUUCGCUUUGUUGCACGCAUAUUCGAAUACUGCAGGCUGAGAGCUGUGGCAUGCUGAUCUGGAUAUCUCCACUGGGAGGUGAGCCAUAGCAUGCUGACCCCAAGUUCUCCUCUGUGGUUGGAUCUGUUGCACGCAGAUUGGAGUACUGCUGGCUGAGAACUGUGACACGCUGAUAUGGAUGUAUCCUCUGGCCUGCGAGCCAUGGUACCCCGACCCCGAGGCCUACUCUGUGGUUGCAUCUUUGGCACCCAAAUUGGAAUAUUCCUCCUUGCUGAGAGCUGUGGCACCCUGACCUGGAAGACUGUCAGGGGCUUCGUUAUGUGGCACACGGACUCUGAGGUUUCCUCUGUGGUUGGCACUAUGGAAUGCCUACUUGGAAUACUCCUCCUUGCUUGGAUGUAUGGCAUGCUGACCUGGAUGUUUCCUCUGGGCUGCGAGCAAUGCCACGCUGACCCUGAGGCCUCCUCUUUGGUGAGAGCUCUGGCAUGCAAUUUGGAAUAUUUCUGCUGGCGGCGAACAGUGCCACACUGACCUGGAAGAC